Brassica rapa (field mustard) is the source of this 3765-nucleotide long non-coding RNA. RefSeq lists it as uncharacterized. The record is from RefSeq and is a predicted model, not a curated record. NCBI's taxonomy places the organism in Eukaryota, Viridiplantae, Streptophyta, Magnoliopsida, Brassicales, Brassicaceae.
AUAUAUUAAAAAUUAAAUUUAAAAAUUAGUUAUAUAUAAUUUAGUAUACAAAAAUUCACAUACAAAUAAAAAUAUAAAUGUAACAAAUUUAAAUAUAUUAUCCGCGCGUAGCGCGGAGAAAGGAUCUAGUAAUAUAUAAUCUCUCUUCUUAAAAAAAUCUAAGAUGUUUUUGGAUGAAAUCAUAAAUAUUUAGGAAGUUGCUUUUACUUAAAAAGUAUCAAUAAAAAUAUUGAUUAAAAUCAAUCUGACUAAUUAUAAAAUAAACUAUAAAAUGUAACUGGUUACACAAUUUUUAAUAAAAUUAAAAGUUAUUUAAGAAAUUAUAAAUAUUUUAUAUUUUGAAACAUCAAAAAUUCAUUUAAACAUCUUACAUUAUAAAAUAGAGUGAGUAUUAUUUAGUAUACAAAUUCAAACCUCAUUGAAAAAUGUUUAAAUUACAUUGUUUGAAUCUCACAUAGAUGAUAUACGGCCGAAAAACCUCAUAUUGACAACAGCUAUAUUAAAAAUACAUAUCAACGACAUGAAUCUAACGAGUCAACACAAUAAAGUUGUAUAUAGAAGACUUAAAAAUGGCAAAGGAAAUAGACGAAAUAAGAGGCUUUGAAUGGUGAUUGUCGUCCCGCCCCGUCCCGCCCCGUCCCGCAGUUAACACACAGUUGAACCGCUUGUCCCGCACCACUCAAAUCGCAGUCACCAUUCGAAGCUAUUUAGUAAGUUCUUCUUCGCUUUUAUAUAUAUGGAUUAUCAGGUUUAAACCGUAUCAACGAUAUGACUUCAGAUGAAGUGACUACAAACUUAAUACAGUAUUGAACAAUUUCUUUAAUAAUGAAAUUUUAAAAUAUUGUGUUCCAAAUAGGUUGUAUAUAUCAGCUAUUGUCCAUAUGCAUGCGAUAGAAAUCUUGUCCCUCGAUGCCGCCAGUAGUCGUGCCAUCGGCGUUAUGUACGUUCUGACAUCACCAAACUCAUUCAAAAGCCAUAAAAUAUUUACGUUAUGGCCUAUGGUCCUACGGAUACCAUAUAAUAUUAUGUGCAUACGUUGAGACUUACGCUAGAGAUUACGUGUAUUUAAGUUACUAUUUACAUUUAUAUGGGUUCGAGUUCCUAGGUUGUGUCAUGGAUAAACGUCCAUAAAUUGAUACAUAAUUCACCGAUACAUGUUAAAAUCAUGCAAGGUAUGACCGUAACUGCAAUAGCAGAUCCUGCCUUGUCGCAUAUGUUGUAAACACAUGGUCCAUCGUUCCUACUGUUUAGUUUAUUAGUUACAUAGGAAUUUGUCUUGUUUCAAAAAAAAAAACAAAAGAAAAAGGAAUUUGUCUAUAUUCCUCACGAAGUGCCGAAUAAUUACAGUGAUAUGCUAAAAAAGUUCACGAUACAAACCUACAAAUACUAAAAGAAAACCUCCAAAUAUUAGAUCAAUAAGUUCAUAUACAUUUUGAAAUCAUUUGAUUAUUUUCUUUAAGAAAAAAUGACAUAUAACGAAAAAUGGGAAUAAAAAUAUGAUAGAAUAGAAUUAACAUUUACCCCCGAAAAAUGAACAAAGAAAAGAGAUUAGGGUUUAGAGAGUGGGGGUGGUUUCCCGUGGCCAUGCAAAUGUGUCAGCUUCGUGUCACAGUCUUUGAUGGACACCGACACACGAAACUCAUGUGAACUGUUCUUUCUCUUUAUUUCUUUUCUCAUUGUUUUCUUUUUCACUUUCUCUUCUGUUCUCGAGAAAAUCAACCAAAAUAGACAAAGUCUGAAAGGCAUAUAACAUUGUUUUAACACAAAAACAUUAAUGUUUCGGUUUCCUCUAAAAAAAAUGGGCAAAAGGACAAGGAUAUUCAUUAAACAGAACUUUAGAAAAAUACUAAAAUAAAAAUAUGUUGAACUAGUUUUUCCAACCAUUUAUCGUACGAAUUUGACUAGGAAAAAUGAUUCAUCACCAUCAUCCGAUUUUUUUCCCCCAUGUAAUUAUAUAUACAUUUUCACUCUUAUGAAAUAAAAAAACUUAUGUCUUCGUUUAAUACAUUUCUUUGAAGAUCACAAUGACUUUUAAAUUUAAUCGUUUUGAAAAGUUGGCCGAGUAUUUGAUAAAAAAAAGAAAAAAAAAAGUUGGCCGAGUAUUACUUGAACUGAAAGACCGUUUGAUACGACAUACCUGGCACGACUAACAAUAAUUUGACAAAUCAAGUACCAACUAUACAUUUAUACUAUUUGAUUGAUUUGCUUUCUUCGUCAAAUUGACUGAUUUAACUCAAUGGACCGUUUUGGUAACGUAUAUUAAAAGCUGAACCUAGUAAGACUUUGUUCAAGAGCGUGUUCUCUUUAGAUGUAAUGAUAUUAGUUGUCCUUUGAUGGUGCUUAACUUUAUUCGUGCAAUAACCGGAUGAUCAGACAGAGGCAUUGAAUGAUUCCUACUUUCCCGGUUCAGUUACUUUCGGUGUAGAGAUAAUUGAAAAAGGAGAAGUUGUUGGUAACAUAUAUUUUUUUUUCUCUGGACCAAUUCUUGUUUCCAAGAGGGCUUAAAGUAUCGAGGCCACGACCUGUCACAUACAACACAAUCUUAUACUAUAAAGAAGAGCUUCACUCUCUUCUCCUCUUGCCACGUCAUCAAAUAGAGGGAGGAGAGAGUGACACGUGUCUACUCUAACCAAAACGCAGUGGUUCAUUAAACGUCGUAAUGAGUUUCGUAUGUAAACGCAAAUCUGUCAUUAUGGGCUUUAAUAUUGUAAAGAGUCUGGGCCCGGCGCGGAGGAGACGCUCUAACCCUAAUACGCUGCAGCGAAGACACGAGGUAUGUCACGCCGGCGACGUUUGCGAUUUUCUCACCAUCUGAAACGGUUUGAGUAAAGGCUUCGUGAUUACUUCCAUUGAUUCGCUCUCCCACUCCGUCUUCUUCAAUGCUUUUCGAUCUGAGAUGCUGUGUUUCAGUAUAAAUACAUAUGCCUCGGUGGUUCUGUGGUGAUACUCUAUGCCCGUGGUGGAGGUUUAUUGGUCUGUUCUGGUAUCUCUCUAUGAAAUUGGAAGCUCGAGCUGCUUCUCGCCUCUCGGUGGUGGUUUUGUGCUACCGCAAGUUUAUUGCGGCGAGUAACCCUUGAAGGUGGCUUCUUUGUUUGUUUCUUUAAGGGUUUUUGGUAGCUGGUUUACUCGCUGGACUUUGCCUCAUCAGGCCAGGACUGCAAAUCUUCAACGGGUCAGAAGAUUGUGAACUGAACCUGAUCAACAAAAGCCAAGCUAAUCACAUGAGAUCUUUUGGUCAGGGUCAACAGCUAUGGCAAGUGGAAUGUUUUUGCUUAUAAUUCCAUCAUAUAUUUUUAAAUUUAAACUUCAGAUUGGAGACGACCUAAAACUAUAAAUGGAACUGUUGGUUUUGUCUUAUCCUUGCAGGCUUGGAUUGCAAACUUUUAAAAGAAUGUUGUUCAAGCAGAUGUGAAAUAGAAGUAUUCAGACAUUUGGAGUUGUGUAGGAAGCAUGUAGCUCACGAUUUGUCUGUCACUUUUAAAGAUUUGGUGCAGUGCUCAUGAAUAUGUAGAACCUAAUGUGGUAGUUUAGAGAGGAUUCGAAAGCUUGCUUGAAAAAGGUAUUUUCCAGUUUCUUAGUUUAAUGCUCAAAGCUUGACCGUCUGUUGAAAAUCUACAAACCCGUACAAUACUCUCGCUAACAUCCUUGCGCAUUUUAAUAUGUCAAAGAAAAUUGAAACCAUAAACCGAGGAACCUUAUGGUUUUAUAUGUUGAAAAAGUAACGUAACUCCUCGGUAUGAAGAUGUGUAUAACUUUCUCUGUUUU